RNAcentral lists this ribosomal RNA (457 nucleotides) under uncultured bacterium. RNAcentral's name for it is "partial 16S ribosomal RNA". It matches the Rfam family "Bacterial small subunit ribosomal RNA", at positions 338 to 795 of the family's 1533-position model. The record is from RNAcentral.
CCUACGGGUGGCAGCAGUGGGGAAUAUUGCACAAUGGGGGAAACCCUGAUGCAGCGACGCCGCGUGAGUGAAGAAGUAAUUCGUUACGUAAAGCUCUAUCAGCAGGGAAGAAACACUGACCUUGCGGUCAGCAGACGGUACCUGGGUAAGAAGCCCCGGCUAACUACGUGCCAGCAGCCGCGGUAAUACGUAGGGGGCAAGCGUUAUCCGGUGUUAUUGGGUUUAAAGGGUGCGUAGGCGUAAUGCCAAGUCAGCGGUAAAAGAGCGGGGCUCAACCUCGCUCCGCCGUUGAAACUGGCGUUCUUGAGUGGGCGAGAAGUAGGCGGAAUGCGUGGUGUAGCGGUGAAAUGCAUAGAUAGCACGCAGAACUCCGAUUGCGAAGGCAGCAUACCGGCGCCCAACUGACGCUGAAGCACGAAAGCGUGGGUAUCGAACAGGAUUAGAUACCCCUGUAGUC